AACGAACGCUGGCGGCAGGCUUAACACAUGCAAGUCGAACGCCCCGCCAGGGGUGUGGCAGAAGGGUGAGUAACGCGUGGGAACAUACCCUUUUCUACGGAAUAGCUCUGGGAAACUGGAAUUAAUACCGUAUACGCCCUACGGGGGAAAGAUUUAUCGGGGAAGGAUUGGCCCGCGUUGGAUUAGCUAGUUGGUGGGGUAAAGGCCUACCAAGGCGACGAUCCAUAGCUGGUCUGAGAGGAUGAUCAGCCACAUUGGGACUGAGACACGGCCCAAACUCCUACGGGAGGCAGCAGUGGGGAAUAUUGGACAAUGGGCGCAAGCCUGAUCCAGCCAUGCCGCGUGAGUGAUGAAGGCCUUAGGGUUGUAAAGCUCUUUCACCGAUGAAGAUAAUGACGGUAGUCGGAGAAGAAGCCCCGGCUAACUUCGUG
RNAcentral lists this ribosomal RNA (431 nucleotides) under uncultured bacterium. RNAcentral's name for it is "partial 16S ribosomal RNA". It matches the Rfam family "Bacterial small subunit ribosomal RNA", at positions 29 to 507 of the family's 1533-position model. The record is from RNAcentral.